GUUAUGUAUUGAAGAAUACAGUCUAUAAUACAUAUAAAAUAUGUGUUAAUUGACUAUACUAUCAGCAAGGCUUCAAGUCAAGGGGGAGGUGGAUGCCAUGUUGUGAGGACACUCAAGCAGCUCUACAGAGACGCCCCCAGGAUGAGAAACCGAGGCCUCCUGCCAACAGCCAUAGAGUGCACCAUCCAGUCCCAGUCAAACCUUCAGAUGACUGCAGCCCAGGCCAACACCUUGAUUGCAGCUUCAUAAGAGACUCUGAUAGUAGCACCACCCAGAUGAGGAGACUGAAGUACAGGAGAGGUUACAUAACUUAUCCAAGGUUCUUAGCUAUCUUUUCCCUUAAGGCAAAAAUACGUAUUCUGGUCCUUGGGCAAAUUAGUACAACGAUGGGAUUUAGAUGAACUGACACUACUUCCUCGUGAGCUCCCCCUUUCUCAGAAGGCACUUGGGAAAGCACGUGAACAAAUUCCUUUACUCGGGAUUGUGAGUGGCGAGGCUGCUUGGACCAUGAUUUCCAGUGUCCAAGACCUGCCCAAGAGGAUUCCUUCCCAGCCUGUUGUUGGACACAAGUGGGAUCUUCUUCCUGAGGGAACCGCCUGCUUUACCCACUGUCUCCUGCAUCAUUUUAUUCUGAAUGUCUCCAGUUAUUUCAACUAUCUUGGGAAGGACUCUGGGAAAAUAAAAGCUGUGUGUAUCACUUAGAGGUUUCUCACAACAGAACUGUGUUCUACCCUGCAUUGAUGGCUAAUUGAUUAAAAAUGGUGCAAAUGGGCCGGGCGCGGUGGCUCAAGCCUGUAAUCCCAGCACUUUGGGAGGCCGAGACGGGCGGAUCACGAGGUCAGGAGAUCGAGAGACGAUCCCGGUCUAACACGGUGAAACCCCGUCUCUACUGAAAAAUACAAAAAAAACUAGCCGGGCGAGGUGGCCGGCGCCUGUAGUCCCAGCUACUCGGGAGGCUGAGGCAGGAGAAUGGCGUAAACCCGGGAGGCGGAGCUUGCAGUGAGCUGAGAUCCGGCCACUGCACUCCAGCCUGGGUGACAGAGCAAGACUCCGUCUCAAAAAAAAAAAAAAAAAAAAAAAAGGUGCAAAUACUGCUGUAGUCUUAGUAAAUCCUUGUCAAUAUAACUUGUUUUUGGGUUUUCACCAAUAUGUGAAUGACACAUGUCAUUGAGACAGUGACUGGAUUUGAUUACCAAGGAUUGUGAAUAAAAUAUUCUUUCAAGAUGCCAUUUGUAGCAUUUGCUUCCCAAACCCCCAGUUCUCAGGCUAAGAAACACAUAUUUUGCUGAAAGACAUUCAAAGUGCCAGUACAGAGCUCCAUUAACUAGCUGGAUGAAUAGCAAAGAUUCAGCAUUCACUGUGCAUGAAUUACUUCUGGAAAGGUUCUUAUCCCUACCCUCAUGAAGAUCACAAUCUGGUGGAAAAGCUGAGGCACGUUCAAGGAAAAAAUCCAGGGGAUGCAUGAAACUGACAUACAAACAAGCAGUUCAUGGAUGAGGAAACCCACCAGGCUCUAUUAACACAGGCUGGAUUAAUUCAGGACAGGCCAUGUGAUAUAGGAGGGCAGGUGUGAAGCAGAAAUCUAGUGACCCUCUAAGAGAGAAAGGACUAAUAUUUGUUUGCAGGUAAAAUGAACCACUUGCAAUUACAAGUGAAACUUUUAGUUGUGUAUAAGAGAGAGCCCUUGCCACUUUG
Papio anubis (olive baboon) is the source of this 1695-nucleotide long non-coding RNA. NCBI's taxonomy places the organism in Eukaryota, Metazoa, Chordata, Mammalia, Primates, Cercopithecidae. The record is from Ensembl.